UAUCGCUCUAAGAUGGACUUGCGUCUGAUUAGUUAGUUGGUGGGUUAACGGCCUACCAAGACAGCGAUCAGUAGCCGGCUUGAGAGAGUGUACGGCCACAUUGGGACUGAGACACGGCCCAGACUCCUACGGGAGGCAGCAGUGGGGAAUUUUGCACAAUGGGGGAAACCCUGAUGCAGCGACGCCGCGUGAUUUAGAAGGCCUUCGGGUUGUAAAAAUCUUUUCUAUGGGAAGAAAAUGACAGUACCAUAGGAAUAAGGACCGGCUAAUUACGUGCCAGCAGCCGCGGUAAUACGUAAGGUCCGAGCGUUGUCCGGAAUCAUUGGGCGUAAAGGGUACGUAGGCGGGUAAGCAAGUUAGAAGUGAAAUCCUAUAGCUCAACUAUAGUAAGCUUUUAAAACUGCUCAUCUUGAGGUAUGGAAGGGAAAGUGGAAUUCCUAGUGUAGCGGUGAAAUGCGCAGAUAUUAGGAGGA
RNAcentral lists this ribosomal RNA (473 nucleotides) under uncultured Clostridium sp. RNAcentral's name for it is "bacterial SSU rRNA". It matches the Rfam family "Bacterial small subunit ribosomal RNA", at positions 213 to 705 of the family's 1533-position model. The record is from RNAcentral. Lineage: Bacteria; Bacillati; Bacillota; Clostridia; Eubacteriales; Clostridiaceae.